ACUUUAACUCCCAAAAUACCAUUAAUUUUUAUGAACCCCUAAUUUAUAAUGAAUGACUCCAUAUUUAUAUGGAAGACACCAUGCUAGGAUUAGUAACAAGAAUUUAUAAUUCUCCAAAAUGCAAAUAUAAACCAACAUGGAUAGACCAUUGGUAGUUACCGAACCUAAAUUCAAUGCAAUAACAUCCACAAGAAAACUCUGCAGUACUCACUCGUUAACCUAACACCAGCGCAUUACAGGAAAGAUUUAAAAAAAGAGAAGGAAUUCGGCAAAUGACGGCCCCGCCUGUUUACCAAAAACAUCGCCUCUUGACUUAUAAUAAGAGGUCCAGCCUGCCCAGUGAAUUUUAAACGGCCGCGGUAUCCUAACCGCGCGAAGGUAGCAUAAUCACUUGUUCUUUAAAUGGGGACUUGUAUCAACGGCAUCACGAGGGUUUUACUGUCUCCUCUUUUUGAUCAGUGAAAUUGAUCUUCCCGUGAAGAAGCGGGAAUAUUUUUAUAAGACGAGAAGACCCCAUGGAGCUUUAAACCAAAUAACAACUUAACCACUUAUCCCAUAAUAAAUUUAAGCCCUGUUAUAAGGUUUUUGGUUGGGGUGACCGCGGAGUAAAGCACAUCCUCCACGACGGAAAGAACAGAAUCUUUAUUUAAGAACCACACUUCUAGAAAUUAGUAUACUAACGUUUACUGACCCGACAAUCGAUCAACGGACCAAGUUACCCUGGGGAUAACAGCGCAAUCUACUUCAAGAGCUCAUAUCGACAAGUAGGCUUACGACCUCGAUGUUGGAUCAGGGUAUCCCGGUGGUGCAGCCGCUACCGAAGGUUCGUUUGUUCAACGAUUAAAACCCUACGUGA
Molecule: ribosomal RNA, 856 nt
Filed under: Polypedates leucomystax (Java whipping frog)
Lineage: Eukaryota; Metazoa; Chordata; Amphibia; Anura; Rhacophoridae
Description: partial large subunit ribosomal RNA
Rfam family: Bacterial large subunit ribosomal RNA
Source: RNAcentral